This 253-nucleotide ribosomal RNA is filed under the name uncultured bacterium. Its description in RNAcentral is "partial 16S ribosomal RNA". It matches the Rfam family "Bacterial small subunit ribosomal RNA", at positions 524 to 776 of the family's 1533-position model. The record is from RNAcentral.
AACGUAGGUUCCGAGCGUUAUCCGGAUUUACUGGGCGUAAAGCGCGUUCAGGCGGUUUGGCAAGUCGGGCAUGAAAUCUCUCGGCUCAACCGGGAGAGGUUGUCCGAUACUGCUGGACUUGAGGGCAGUAGAGGGUGGUGGAAUUCCGGGUGUAGUGGUGAAAUGCGUAGAUAUCUGGAGGAACACCGGUGGCGAAGGCGGCAUCCUGGGCCGGUAUUGACGCUGAGGAGCGAAAGCCAGGGGAGCAAACGGG